This 713-nucleotide ribosomal RNA is filed under the name Salmonella enterica subsp. enterica. Its description in RNAcentral is "partial 23S ribosomal RNA". It matches the Rfam family "Bacterial large subunit ribosomal RNA", at positions 935 to 1566 of the family's 2925-position model. The record is from RNAcentral. Lineage: Bacteria; Pseudomonadati; Pseudomonadota; Gammaproteobacteria; Enterobacterales; Enterobacteriaceae.
CUUACCAACCCGAUGCAAACUGCGAAUACCGGAGAAUGUUAUCACGGGAGACACACGGCGGGUGCUAACGUCCGUCGUGAAGAGGGAAACAACCCAGACCGCCAGCUAAGGUCCCAAAGUCAUGGUUAAGUGGGAAACGAUGUGGGAAGGCCCAGACAGCCAGGAUGUUGGCUUAGAAGCAGCCAUCAUUUAAAGAAAGCGUAAUAGCUCACUGGUCGAGUCGGCCUGCGCGGAAGAUGUAACGGGGCUAAACCAUGCACCGAAGCUGCGGCAGCGAACGUAUCACUUAAAGCGAUUCAGCGGGUUACGAUUGACGGAGCGAAGCGACGUCAAAGCGUAUACAAAGUCGAGUCGGUUUAAGGAUACGUUCGUUGGGUAGGGGAGCGUUCUGUAAGCCUGCGAAGGUGGCCUGUGAGGGUUGCUGGAGGUAUCAGAAGUGCGAAUGCUGACAUAAGUAACGAUAAAGCGGGUGAAAAGCCCGCUCGCCGGAAGACCAAGGGUUCCUGUCCAACGUUAAUCGGGGCAGGGUGAGUCGACCCCUAAGGCGAGGCCGAAAGGCGUAGUCGAUGGGAAACGGGUUAAUAUUCCCGUACUUGGUGUUACUGCGAAGGGGGGACGGAGAAGGCUAUGUUGGCCGGGCGACGGUUGUCCCGGUUUAAGCGUGUAGGUGUGUGUUCCAGGUAAAUCCGGUUCACUUUAACACUGAGGCGUGA